This 9773-nucleotide long non-coding RNA is filed under the name Oryza sativa (Asian cultivated rice). RNAcentral's name for it is "long non-coding RNA (OSAT_LNC000673)". Lineage: Eukaryota; Viridiplantae; Streptophyta; Magnoliopsida; Poales; Poaceae. The record is from RNAcentral.
ACUUUUGCAGCCAAAUUUAUAAACUUGCCUUUUCUUUUCCACAUCAAAUCCUCACCUUUUGGAUUUUUCAGCAAGUAAUAAAUUAUUUGCGAAAAUAGUGUGCCGAGUCUGUUCAUUUGGCUGCAAAACAAAUCUUGAUGCACCAUGAAGCCCAUCAGUGCUACAUACCAAGUAGGGCCAAAGGCCAGUAGGGUUAGAUCUACCACAAUUCCUAAGCUACUACAUCUGCCUUCUGCCAUCUGAAUGUGCAUAUCAUCCUCCAAUCCACUUUCUUUCCAUUCACCAUUCCAACCAAUCGACACAACAACAGCAGUAGCAAAGGUAUGAGAAUUGAGAGACUCUAUACACAGCUCCCAUUCACAUGGCUCAAAAUCAGAACAAAUCACAAAUGGUGGUUAAGAAAAAAGUAGCAGGAGGUUAGUCGAAGCUCGAUGACCGGCUCCAGUACCCGUCAGCUGAAGUGUCCAUGGUCUGUUCAGUGCUGCAGUGCGAGAGGGUGUCAUCCUCCACGCCCAGCAACGCGAGGUUCAGGUGUGACUGCAUGUUUGAGUCAGGAGCCGCCACAGCCUCCUCGUCUGAUCCGUCGAAGCUCGCGGUGACGUGGGACCUUGCCCAGUGGUCAGUGGAUCGUUUCGUCAUCUCCUUCAAGCAGUUUCAAAAUCUGUGUUGCCAGAACAUAGCAAGUUGAGGUCAAUCAUCAAGACAUUUUUUAAGUAUUUUGCACAUGUAAUUUGUUCAGGUUCUUACCUGUGACAUUUCCGGUCGGGAAUGAGAAGAUGUCCUUGUGCAUAGCAAGGCUGCAAGAGUCAGUCAUCAGCUAAAGAAUGGAGGCCUAAUCCAACAUCAUCCUCUCCAUUUCGUCACAGUCAUAAUCAUUUCCCAAGAAUGGAUCAACCAAUUGUUUAAUUUCCCCACUUGAUAGUAAUGGCUUUGCCUGAAACCGUCAACAUAGAAUUAGCAAAAAGAAAAAAUAAUUAAUAACUUGCUCGUGCAAGAGUGCUUGUGUGGUCAACAGAGCAAAAAAUGCAGCAAAAAAUUCCAACAGUGCGUGAACGUGCAACUACCAUUUUGUUCUUGGCUCAGGGCAUGUUACUGCUCAGAGCAAGCCAGCUAGGCAUAUAUGGGGUUAAGGAUCACUCACCCAUCCAACCAGGCUUUCCUGACCCUUUGCACAUCCUGUUCUAAUAUGUCUUCUUCCUGAAAUAAUCUCCAGAACCAGAAUUACAACUCCAAAUGCAUAGACAUCAAUUUUCUCAUUGACCUUCCCGUGCGAAAAAUACUCGGGAGCCAAGUAUCUGUCACUGGAGUAGUUUGCUUAGGCAUUUCACACUUGACAAAAGUAGCAAUAGCAGGUAAAAAUAGCAUAGAGAUGGUACUUACCCAAAAGUUCCCGUGAUGUCAGUACAUGUUAGGCGGGGAGUUGAAGCUGACACUUGCUUUGCCAACCCAAAAUCACAAAGCUGGAAAUUUCAAAAGAGAUGAUGUCAUAAGCAGAAUCAAAAUUAACUAGUAAGGCUACCAAAUACUCAAUGCAAUUCGUCACUGCUAACGCAUUAAGACACUUGCUUUGAUCUGAAAAUAAAUAUUUACUGUACUGAGAUUGCUUCAGGUAUUUCAGUAUUUGCAAAUCUCUUGUGAUUAUUUACCUGUGCCUGAAAAUCCUCUGAGAGGAGGAUAUUCGAAGACUUAACAUCUCCAUGAAUCACAGAUUGGGUGAUACUUCCAUUAUGUAGAUAUUCAAGUGCCUUUGCUAUGCCAAUUGCUAUUUUGAAGACCUCACCUGCCACUGGUGCUGCCUAUCCAGGCAUCUAGGCUUAUCGUUUGUGAUUUUAUUUGUUACCAACAAUGUGUUGGCUGACUUAUCUUCAGAUCAGUUUUUCUUUAUGUUGAUUUUUUUUCGCGAACACGCAAAAAGAUUGCACGUCAAUAUAUUAGAGGAAUAGAGUUUUUGUUACACACUGCAAUUGGCCAGACCGGCUUAUGCCAAGGAAGGGGAAAAAACGCAAAGUCAAAAAACAACGAAGAGAAAAAAGAAAAAGAAAAACUUGAACGCUACUCUAAACAACGGGAGGGGGCAGAGUCAUGCUACACUCCCAACAAGUCCCUAAAGGAAGCAACGCCCGCUAACGACCACAACCGGCCCUCCGACAGGAUGGACUCUAGGACCACUGAGACCGAAGAGAGCGCAGAGUCAAACACCCCGGAGUUAUGUUCCUUCCAUAGCUGCCACAAGACCAGGAGGACCAGGGAGUCGAAGCUGGCACGGAGGUGAUCAGGUAAACCAGCCUUGGAAGAUGGCCACCAGUCCUGGAGCCAGCUGCCACGGGGGGCGAGAGGGCAUUCCAGCCAGGAGGCGACAGCACCCGUAACCAGACCUGACGAGCGAAAACGUAGUCGAGGAGGAUGUGGUUCGCUGUCUCGAGCUCUUGAGCGCAAAAGGGGCAGGUCGAGUGGCUAUCGAUGCUACGCUUUUGGAGGAGAUCAGCCAUCCAACAGCGCUGCUGGAAUGCAAACCAGAGGAAGAAUUUGCAUUUAGCAGGGCCUUUCGCGUUCAAGAGAAGAUCGACACAAGCAAAGGAGUGCUGGCCAAGGAAGAACGCCUGGUACGCCGAAUGCGCCGAGUAGCGCUGGUCACUCGUCCAACGCCAGACAAGACGAUCCUGUUAACGACCAAAUUUGCUAAUCCAGGGAUCAGAGAUGAGGAAGAAAUCGAGAAGGAAUCAAGAUUGAAAUCAUUCCGGAAACAGAGUAAGGAUCAGCUAGAAUCUGAAUCGGCUACGACUGAAAUCGGCAGAGUUCGGUCAGAUGGGUUAGCCGAUUGAGCCAAAUCUGACAGCAUGACAUGGCAUACGUUGUCGGUUUAGGUUGAUGCACUUCGUGAUGAUUGCCGCACAUGGAUAGAGUCCUAAGAAGGCAAUUGUAUCUAUUAAUUAGGAUAUUUUAUGUAAUUUCCUUAGAGAUAAGUGUGGGCAAAAGUUUGCCGCAAAUACUUAUGGUAUCUUAGAGUUUGUUAGAGAUAAGAGUCGUGUUUGAUAUGGACAUGUUUUGUAAUUCUCGGGUAUAAAUAGACCCCGAGCCCCAUGUAAUCAAAUUAACACACGUUCAAUACAAUCUCGGCGCAUCGCCACCCUUUUUACUUUCGUCUUGUUUCGACGAGUUCUUGCUUUCGGGUUGAGCUGCAUCGGUUUCGAUCUUCAACAAGAGGUAAAACUUGUUAUGGUGGCUUGCGUUCUCGGGAUUAGUGCUUCCAUCUUUAUGAUACUCUAAUCUUGUUUAUGUAAUUUGUCGAGUUAUCAUAUAUCUUACAUAAUCUCCGGCAAUAUCGCUAUCUAACCUAUAAUCGGCUAACAUCUGUCGGAAGAGGGCAGCCGAUUAGGUUAGAUAUCGAUGUUGACUUAGAUUAUAUAGGAUAUCCACCACUCUAUGAAACUUCCAAUGGCUUGAUUGUCUAGAUAUUGUCAUUCUUUUCAUACUUAUAGCUGCAUCAGUUGAGUUUGAUCUUAUAAGUCGUGAUUAGAAUCUCAAUCUCUAGCCUGCUUCUUGGUUGCCGAUUAGGGUAGUAUCGGGGUUUCAGCCGAUCUUACCUGAUUUAACUAUAUUUACUCUAUAUGCUUCGCUGAUAUGUUAAAUCUGCCAUUUAUAUUAAGAUCUUGUUGCAUUUAAGUAUAUUAGGCCUUUGUUUAAUAUAUCCUAUUUGCUUUGAUAUCCUAGUAUAGAGUUGUAUCGGAAUAUUAGCCGAUACAUGCUAGAUCUAUCUGAUCGGCUAUGCUAUGAACGUAUAUAGUCUUGUUGUUAAUAUAUAUUUUGAUCUAAGUGAUUUAUAUUGUCUCGGCAUGGCGACCAAUCUAUCCCAAUCACUUGAUUUAUGUAUAUAUCGACACGGGGAUUAUAUAUUGUUAAUAUCUACAGCCGAUCGAGUAGAUUUAGUUCUUCCUUACUUAUUUAUGACUGCCGAUCGAUGCAUAUGUGACAUCGGCUCAAAGAUAAAUGAUAUGUCAUCGGCACCUAGCCGAUCGGCUAUCGUUUAUGGAUUUAACCGCGGUUUCUUUGUCUUUGUUUCUUGUUGAUUGCAGGAUCAAAUCAACUGGCACGCUAGCAUACCCGAAGGCGAGUUUUGGACCUGCACUGGAGUUAAGUAGAUCCCCCAGGCCUCGUAUUUUUACGUCAACAGAUCCCCGACACCCGGUGAAAGUUGGAAGUGAAGCACCGCGUCCUAGACAAGAAGAAACUGGGAGAUGCCCGGGACAGUGAGGGCCCCGCGGAUGUCAGAAAUCCAAGCGUUGUUCGCCAGGCCAGAAGAAACCGUGCGCGAACCACGCAGACGCGGGGGCACAACGAAGAGGAGAUCUGGAGCCAAGGAGGCAACAGAGCGGCCACCGAUCCAUUGGUCAGACCAGAAGAGAAUCGACUCACCAUCACCCGGCACGAAGAAGGUGGACGCCUGAAACAUGUCAGUGACGGCUCGCUCGGCUGGGGCUUUCAGGCCGUCCCAGUAAGGAUUCCCUGAGUGUUGGAGCCAAAGCCAACGAACUCACAGGGCAAACCCUGCCAACUUCAGGUCAGGAAUUCCUAACCCACCGAAAGCUUUGGGACGACAGACAUUCGUCCAAGACACCCGGCACUACCCUCCAUGAGCCGAGUCUGUACCCGUCCACAAGAAGGCGCGGCGCUUCUUGUUAAUGGCCUUGAUCAUCCAGGCGGGAAGACCGAUCACCAUAGACACAUGGACCGGAAUGGAGGAGAGAACAGACUGGACCAGCACAGAGCGGCUAACCAGAGUGGUGAGUUGUCCCUUCCAGGGCGGAAGACGAUGGGAAACUUUGUCCACAAGAGGUUGCAGGGCCGCCUUCGGCAAUUUGCGAAUGGACAACGGAAUGCCGAGAUAGGAUUAGGGAAAAUCUGAGAUUGAGCGGGGAAAGCAGGACUGCACCAGGUCCAGGUCCUCCGCCGAACAGCGGAUCAGAGUAACCGAACACUUGGCAAAGUUAGUGCGAAGCCCGGAUGCUGCACCAAAGAUAGAGAGGAUACCCUGGAUGAAUUCGAGAUCCUGACGAACCGGGGAGAGGAAGAGAACCAAGUCAUCAGCGUAGAGGGAGGCAUGGUCGUUGAGCGGAAGGAACCCGCCUGACUCGGAGGCUUUGCGGAGCAUCGUAUUGAGCACAUCCAUGACCAGAAUGAAGAGCAUGGGAGAGAGAGGAUCUCCCUGCCGAAGACCGGGAAACAAGGCCCCGGCACCCCAUUGAUCAGCACCCGGGAAGAGGAGGCACCAAGAAUGAGGAAAAUCCAAUCACGCCAGCGCUGACUGAACCCCAGGUGGGCGAGCAUCUCAAGUAGAAACUGCCAGCUGACCGUGUCAAAAGCCUUGGCGAUGUCCACCUUAAGAAGGAGGCGGGGGAUAUGCUUGGCGUGGAGAGCCCUGGCCGCGAGCUGAACAUAGCGGAAGUUGUCAUGAAAGGGAUCGGCCUUUGACGAGGCACUCUGAUUGGGCGCCACAAGCUCGCCAAGGUGAGGAGAGAGACGGGAAGCCGGGAUCUUGGAGAACAACUUCCCAAAGCUGUGGAUGGGGCUAAUCGGUCGGAAAUCCUUGACGUCAACAGCCUCGUCCUUCUUUGGCAGAAGGGAGAUGAGGGUAUCAUUGAGGGAGGAGAACCCCCGACCGUUAGCGAGAAAGAGGGAGUUGAGAGCCGCCAUGACCUCUGGCUUGAUCACCGACCAGCAAGUCUUGUAGAACCGGCCCGUGAACCCAUCCGGACCGGGCGCCUUGUCAGAAGGUAAGGCCUUGACCACCGCCCAAACCUCCUCCUCCGAGAAAGGGUUGUCCAGCCCCCCAAGAUGCGCAGGGCAGAGACCAAGGGAGUGGAGGUCAAGGGCGAAAUCGCGCUCAACAGACGUCCCCAAGAUAGCGCCAAAGUGAGAAGAGGCAAGCUCCUGAAGCUCAUCGUGGGAGACGGCAAGUUGGUCCCCAUCUUGAAGACGUGUGAUGAAGUUCUUCCGCCUUCGGGCUCUAGCGUGCAGGUGGAAAAACAUGGUGUUUCUGUCACCCUCCUUGAGCCAGAUCAGACGCGAACGCUAGCGGGCUCGAGCGAGGCAAGCUAGCCCAAGGCACUUCAGUUUCAAAUCCCGCUGCAACCAAGUCUCCAGGGGGAGAGAGACCGGUUCUCUUGCGCGACGUCAAACCGGAAGACGUUCUCCUUCGCCAUCUGCAGUUGGAGACGGACGCUGCCGAUGUGACGGUCACUCCAACUCUUCAGGCGCUUAGCCGUGUUAGCAAAACACCAUGCCAGUGCGGGGAGAGGGGGAAGGUAGGAAAAUCUGUGUUGAAACAGAUUGCCAUGCUACCAUGUUGUGCUGAGGAUUAUCUAUGUUCUACUGAUUCAUCAGCGUCACCAAAGCAAUGACUAAUAUGAUCUAUUUAGUGCUGCAAUUUAAAAGUUCAAUUAUUGUCACAGUACACUACACACUCAUUUAACUCUGGCAAUUACGCAGUGUAGAGUUUGUAAUUAAAUGCAUAAUGCUCCAAUUGUCUCUUUCCAACCUCCUUUCGAAACCGAAAUGAAGGAAAUGAUGCCUCAGUGCUCAGUGCUUACUUUAGUACUCUCUAUUCUAUGAAUUUAGACACGUAAAGCACAUAUAUACAUCAAAACAGCCGAAAUUCUGACAAAUCGACCUUUAAUAAAAUUUAUUUUGAAAAUAGACCCAAAAUAUUCCUUACUUCCCUAAAUGUUUGACGCUGUUGACUUUUUAAAGUAUGUUUAACCAUUUGUCUUAUUCAAAAACUUUUGUGAAAUAUGUAAAACUAUAUGUAUAUAUAAAAGUAUAUUUAACAAUAAAUCAAAUGAUAGGAAAAGAAUUAAUUAUUAUUUAAAUUUUUUUAAAUAAGACGAACAGUCAAAUAUUUUUAAAAAAGUCAACGGCGUCAAACAUUUUGGGAUAAAGGGAGUAUGAAUAUUUACACAAUCUUGUCGCCAUAGAGCACCGUGAAGGCUAUGUCGUCCUCGUCCUUUGAAUUGGCUGACCGUCCCCGCCGCGGCCGCGUGAACGGCAGCACCAGCGAUGCCGUGAACCGCGCAGACAUGGACCGCCGGUGAGACGACGACGAAGGCGACGGCGUCGUCGUCGAAGCGAGAAUGUUCGCCCCCGUGUCGCAGCCGCCAUGGGACGCCGCGGCUGCAGGAGGAGGCGCGAGGAGCCUCGGCGGGAGCAGCAGCGUCGAUGCUGCCGCCGGCGCCGGCGCCGGAGAAGAAGAUGCACUGCUACUUCCGACGGCGGCGCCGCCGCCGCCGUGGUGUGGUUGCUGCUUCGGGACGCCUGGCUGGAGCUCCCACUUGAACGGGAUGGUGCCCGGCCUCUUGAACGACUCGUCCAACGCCAUUGGCGUCACCAACCAGAGCUUGAUCACUCGACGUUUAAUUCUUGCGUUUUUAUGUGCAGCGAAAGCCAUUAUUUGCACAUGGCACCUCGCUUUCUUGGAAAUUUUUUACAGGCAAGCGACGUGCACAUGCAAGUUAAUUACCAGCGAGAAAAUUAAUUGCAGUGGCUGUUGACAGCAUCAGUACAGUCGAUGAGAGUGAUUAGCAGUACUGGUAAUCACUAAUCGCUCUUGAAUAAAUAAAACGAUCGUGUUUACAGCUAGCUGCUUACAGAUCGGACCAUGCAAUUAGCAACCAUGCAUGUAUAAAAGUAGUCAAGUAGAAGGUUCACUGUAGUGGUGCUGCGUGAUUUUGGCAGUCAGAAUUGAGAAUGUCCACACAAUCACAAUUAAUGUGCGGAUCGGUCGAUGCAUACGCAGAUUUGAACAUAUACGAUCGGGAUUAAAACGGUGACGGAAAUUCCCAACCAACCGUCCGAGCAUCGUUUCAGUAAAACAUGGUAUUGUUUCUAACUCUCAUCCUAUAUAAAAUUUAGUUUAGCAUUGUAUAUAUUAUAAUCAGCCCUAAAUAUUACCUCUGUUUUAAAAUAUAAGAGAUUUUCUCAUAUAAUUACGUGCACAGCAUCUCUUAUAUUAUAUUUUAGGACGAAGUAACAAUUAAAAUGGGUAAAUAUGGUUCAUUCCCGAUCAACCGAUAAUAACUGUUCUGUAGAGUUGCAAUUUAGUCUCCAAACGGGCUGUUUGAUGGAAAGUUCCUCUCUCUUUUUUGUGAGGACUUAGCUGCAAAAUGACGAGCAUGAUGCAGAGGAGGACAAAUAGGAAGCUAUCAGUUGAUCAAUCCAGCGAGGAACAAGCUGUUUGAUGGUGCCAUUCAGUAUAUUUAUGUAGUAGUAAUGAAUAUAUUUCAAGCUGCCUUGCUUGUUGUCUUGUGCUCCAAAUGUCAUCGCUCCGAUAACUCAGAUCAAGUUCGCUGGAGCAUACUUAUUAUCUUAGAUAGUAGGAAUACUAGGCACCAACUCUUAAUAAUAAAUAAAUGGAUACAUCAUACAUGAUACUAACAGGUAAUAGCAUAUUAUUUGCUGCUUCUCCUAGAGAUCACUCCGGAACAUAUCUAUCUGGAAUCAUAUGAACUAGUGUUUUUGUCUUCCUGAGGACUUUGUUUUUGGAGGUCUUGUUGAGAGGACAUGGGCCGGUUACUAGGUUGGGCCAGAUCAGUUGCAGUUGAUGAUGGGCAAAUAGCUAGGCCCAAUUGUUAUCCAACCGCCCAGUGAACUGAGGCCCAAAUGAUCUUGUAACACUCUUCUCAGUUUGAUGAUGUCCAUUUUCACAGCACUCCUACUAGAAAUAUCUGACCCCCACGAUCUAUACUAUUGCACCACGUUUCAACAAAUCCUCUCUAUACUAUUAGUUCCCCCGAAUUUUAAAAUCAUCUACUUGUUUAAUAAAAAGAAAUCAUAGUAUUACUUAUAAGUGCUUAUUAAUUGAUUUAAUAAGUUAGAAACUCAAUUUGUUUUCCGUUGCAACGUACGGGCCACAGGCUAGUCAUAUCUGAAUGAUGCAAAAUUUGCAAGUGUUAGGUUUACCCCAGUAGCAUCCUUUGUAUUGGAGGUGUCCUGAAACUUCAGAGUUUGACAGAGAGACAAGGCUCACAUGUGUUGAUGCGAAGAGAGCUCCGGUAGGGAGCAUGCGGUGUCAGUCCUGUAUUCAUGAGACUCUGGUUUUGUCUGAACUGGCCCAGCCAUUCCUGUACUGAGAACAGUACAUCAAGAACGGCGUUUCGUCAUGCCAUGUUACAUUUACACCUGGAACUGCAAACCAGAUCUUUGCUGUACAGUAGCUGACAAGAUCAGUUACAUCAUAUGUCUCAGUGAGAGAGAAACCUACUACUAAUGGUGUGGCUGGCCAAUUCACACAUACAGUAUGUGUAGUAUGUUCUUCAUCAAAUGGUGGUGUUAGAUGAGCAUCUGAGACAGGCAGCCUGUCAUGGCAUGGCAUCUGAGAGGAAAAGCAAAACAAAAGCAACUUGGAAAAGAAUCAAAUCUUGAUGCACCAUGAAGCCCAUCAGUGAUACAUACUCCUACCAAGUAGGGCCAAAGGCCAGCAGGGUUAGAUCUACCACAAUUCCUAAGCUACUACAUCUGCCAUCCGAAUGUGCAUAUCAUCCACUUCCUUUCAAUUUGCAUUCACCAUUCCAACCAAUCGACACAACAGCAGCAGCAAAGUUAUGAGAAUUGAGAGACUCUAUACACACAGCUCCCCAUUCACAUGGCUCAAAAUCAGAACAAAUGGUGGUUAAGAAAAAAGCAGGAGGUUAGUCGAAGCUCGAUGACCGGCUCCAGUACCCGUCAGCUGAAGUGUCCAUGGUCUGUUCAGUGCUGCAGUGCGAGAGGGUGUCAUCCUCCAC